RNAcentral lists this ribosomal RNA (1105 nucleotides) under algae metagenome. RNAcentral's name for it is "bacterial LSU rRNA". It matches the Rfam family "Bacterial large subunit ribosomal RNA", at positions 1669 to 2760 of the family's 2925-position model. The record is from RNAcentral.
GGUAGAGAAUACCAAGGCGCUUGAGAGAACUCGGGUGAAGGAACUAGGCAAAAUGGCACCGUAACUUCGGGAGAAGGUGCGCCGGUGAGGGUGAAGGACUUGCUCCGUAAGCUCAUGCCGGUCGAAGAUACCAGGCCGCUGCGACUGUUUAUUAAAAACACAGCACUCUGCAAACACGAAAGUGGACGUAUAGGGUGUGACGCCUGCCCGGUGCCGGAAGGUUAAUUGAUGGGGUUAGCUAACGCGAAGCUCUUGAUCGAAGCCCCGGUAAACGGCGGCCGUAACUAUAACGGUCCUAAGGUAGCGAAAUUCCUUGUCGGGUAAGUUCCGACCUGCACGAAUGGCGUAACGAUGGCGGCGCUGUCUCCACCCGAGACUCAGUGAAAUUGAAAUCGCUGUGAAGAUGCAGUGUAUCCGCGGCUAGACGGAAAGACCCCGUGAACCUUUACUAUAGCUUUGCACUGGACUUUGAAUUUGCUUGUGUAGGAUAGGUGGGAGGCUUUGAAGCGUGGACGCCAGUCUGCGUGGAGCCAUCCUUGAAAUACCACCCUGGCAACUUUGAGGUUCUAACUCAGGUCCGUUAUCCGGAUCGAGGACAGUGUAUGGUGGGUAGUUUGACUGGGGCGGUCUCCUCCUAAAGAGUAACGGAGGAGUACGAAGGUGCGCUCAGACCGGUCGGAAAUCGGUCGUAGAGUAUAAAGGCAAAAGCGCGCUUGACUGCGAGACAGACACGUCGAGCAGGUACGAAAGUAGGUCUUAGUGAUCCGGUGGUUCUGUAUGGAAGGGCCAUCGCUCAACGGAUAAAAGGUACUCCGGGGAUAACAGGCUGAUACCGCCCAAGAGUUCAUAUCGACGGCGGUGUUUGGCACCUCGAUGUCGGCUCAUCACAUCCUGGGGCUGAAGCCGGUCCCAAGGGUAUGGCUGUUCGCCAUUUAAAGUGGUACGCGAGCUGGGUUUAGAACGUCGUGAGACAGUUCGGUCCCUAUCUGCCGUGGACGUUUGAGAUUUGAGAGGGGCUGCUCCUAGUACGAGAGGACCGGAGUGGACGAACCUCUGGUGUUCCGGUUGUCACGCCAGUGGCAUUGCCGGGUAGCUAUGUUCGGAA